This 74-nucleotide transfer RNA is filed under the name Loxodonta africana (African savanna elephant). It matches the Rfam family "tRNA". Rfam says of the family: Transfer RNA (tRNA) molecules are approximately 80 nucleotides in length. Their secondary structure includes four short double-helical elements and three loops (D, anti-codon, and T loops). Lineage: Eukaryota; Metazoa; Chordata; Mammalia; Proboscidea; Elephantidae. The record is from Rfam by way of RNAcentral.
CCCUGGGUGGUGCAAAUGGUUAACAUUCUUGGCUGUUAACCAGAAGGUUGGUGGUUCGAGUCCACCCAGAGGCA